GACAGAGGGUGCAAACGUUGUUCGGAAUUACUGGGCGUAAAGCGCGUGUAGGCGGCUCGAUAAGUCGGAUGUGAAAGCCCUGGGCUCAACCUAGGAAGUGCAUUCGAAACUGCUGAGCUUGAGUUCUGGAGAGGAAGGCGGAAUUCUUGGUGUAGAGGUGAAAUUCGUAGAUAUCGAGAGGAACACCGGUGGCGAAGGCGGCCUUCUGGACAGCAACUGACGCUGAGACGCGAAAGCGUGGGGAGCAAACAGG
This 253-nucleotide ribosomal RNA is filed under the name uncultured bacterium. RNAcentral describes it as "partial 16S ribosomal RNA". It matches the Rfam family "Bacterial small subunit ribosomal RNA", at positions 524 to 776 of the family's 1533-position model. The record is from RNAcentral.